Molecule: small nucleolar RNA, 173 nt
Filed under: Trichophyton rubrum BMU01672
Lineage: Eukaryota; Fungi; Ascomycota; Eurotiomycetes; Onygenales; Arthrodermataceae
Description: CD-box snoRNA
Source: RNAcentral
GGGCCCUCAAGGAGGGCGAUAUAAAAACACUGACUGCUUAGAUUCCUUUUUUUUCUUCCUUUUCUUCCUUUUUUUGAUUAUGGAGCAGAGAAUCGGCUUCCUGGUUCAGAUGAGAUAUAGAUGGCAACGAACUGGCUUUUAUAAUCCUCCAAAAAUAAUGAUAUUUUUAUCCU